AUUGAACGCUGGCGGCAUGCCUUACACAUGCAAGUCGAACGGUAACGGGCCUUCGGGUGCCGACGAGUGGCGAACGGGUGCGUAAUACAUCGGAACGUGCCCGAUCGUGGGGGAUAACGAGGCGAAAGCUUUGCUAAUACCGCAUACGAUCUACGGAUGAAAGCAGGGGACCGCAAGGCCUUGCGCGGACGGAGCGGCCGAUGGCAGAUUGGGUAGUUGGUGGGAUAAAAGCUUACCAAGCCGACGAUCUGUAGCUGGUCUGAGAGGAUGAUCAGCCACACUGGGACUGAGACACGGCCCAGACUCCUACGGGAGGCAGCAGUGGGGAAUUUUGGACAAUGGGCGCAAGCCUGAUCCAGCCAUGCCGCGUGCAGGAUGAAGGCCUUCGGGUUGUAAACUGCUUUUGUACGGAACGAAAAGCCUUCUUUUAAUACAGGAGGGUCAUGACGGUACCGUAAGAAUAAGCACCGGCUAACUACGUG
This 482-nucleotide ribosomal RNA is filed under the name uncultured bacterium. RNAcentral's name for it is "partial 16S ribosomal RNA". It matches the Rfam family "Bacterial small subunit ribosomal RNA", at positions 30 to 507 of the family's 1533-position model. The record is from RNAcentral.